RNAcentral lists this long non-coding RNA (1615 nucleotides) under Vulpes vulpes (red fox). RNAcentral describes it as "lncRNA (ENSVVUG00000023100.1)". The record is from RNAcentral. Lineage: Eukaryota; Metazoa; Chordata; Mammalia; Carnivora; Canidae.
AAAUUUAAGUUGUGGUAAAAUACGCCUAACGUAGACAUUACCAUCACGCUUGUUUUUAGGCGUGCAGCUCCGGAGCACUGAGUGCCUUCACCCAAUUGUGCAAGCAAUCUCCAGGACUGGUUUCACCCGGCAAGAUCCAAACCCAGCGCACUGAGCACUAGCUCCCGGUCGCCCCCCGCCCCGCGGCAGCCUCUCUUCUGUGGCCGGAGGUCUGUGACUUCCACACUAGGGCCUCAUACCCGUGGAAUCCUACAGUAUUUGCCUUCUUGUGACCAGUUUAUUUCACGGGACCUAGUGUCCUCAAGGCUCAUCCAGGCCAUAGUGCAAGGUGGAGCCCUCCCCCCCGGGCCCCCCAAGGCCUGCAAGGCUGCACCCCUGGCCCACACUCCCUCCUUUCCCUUGGCCAGUCAGGUUAGUCUCUGAUCCCCCAAACUUCCCCGAGUUGAGAAUUGGGGCCCCACCUCCCCUGCAGUUGAUUUUCUGACCCUCGGCCACAAGAGUUAAGAUUUUCUUUGCAGGCUGCCAGGGAGGCCCCCCUGCCCACCGUCAGCCUCCCCCGGGCCUCCAUGGAUUUGUGCACGACCGUGAACCUACAACAGCCCUCUGAGCCCCGGAUCCUGUCGGUGGCCUGCGGUGGCGCCCCUGCUGGACGGCUGUGUGACCGCAGCACCGGGGGCUCUGUGCUCCCUCUCACCCCACCCCGAGGCUUCAGGUCAGCUGCUCCGUUGGAGAGGAGGGAGCAAGGUCUUCCAUCAGGAAGCAAAUCCGUCAGGCUCCACAAAGCGGGGGCCGGUCACCUUCCAGCUUAGACGGGGCAGCGCACAGCAAGGCACUUGAUGGCCACGCAAACUGAUGCCUUCCUUCUGAGCCUGCCGGGGAGUUCGGUGUUGGAUCCCCGGCCGAUGAGGCUGUGUCCUGCAGGCUGACCCACAUCCGGGCUCUUCCCCUCCCCGGGCCUUUGUCUCUGGGACCGUCUGCCUCUCAGGGGAGGGGAGGCAGGGUCUGGGAGCCCCUUGCUUUGUGGAACUCUCUCUCCUGGGGUGAGUCCUGGCCACUGUCGUCUCCUCCAUUCAUUUGGAAGCUGCUUAUUUCAAGUGCAUCUCCUGCCAGCUCUUUAUGUCUCAAAUGCUCUCUGGCCGUGAUUUCCUAUAGUUACAUAAUCACUUCUCUGUUGUCAUGAAUGACUUUUUCCUGUUCUUUUUUCCUCUGAGCCUCACACGACUCUGAGGUGCUUGAGGGUAGUUCAGCCGCCGGCCCCCGCACCGCCAGCCCCCGGAACUGGAGGCUCCCGCCGGCCUCUGGGCCCCUCCUCCUCCCCCCUCUCCUGAGGUGGUUCCGCGUCUCUUUCUCGGAGUCUGGACUCCUUGGCUGGGUCUUGUCGCCCCGCACACCUGCCCCGGUGCCCUGUGGAGGGCAGCGUGGAGGCCUCAGGAGGAUGCAUCUUGUGACCAGGAGCGUGUCCCCAGAGGCUGCCGCCCAUACCCUGUGGCCUGCUUCCCUCACACAGGCUCGCAGUGGGGCCUGGGGGCUCUGCUUCCUUGUCCCCAUCCUCUCAGAGACCCUCUCUCAUGGCCCUUGGUCCCAAAGGCAGCAGCAAGGCCUGCACAGGGCCUCC